AUUGAACGCUGGCGGCAGGCCUAACACAUGCAAGUCGAACGAGUGGCGGACGGGUGAGUAAUGUCUGGGAAACUGCCUGAUGGAGGGGGAUAACUACUGGAAAGGGUAGCUAAUACCGCAUACUAUCGGAUGUGCCCAUAUGGGAUUAGCUAGUUGGUGGGGUAAAGGCUCACCUAGGCGACGAUCCCUAGCGGGUCUGAGAGGAUGACCAGCCACACUGGGACUGAGACACGGCCCAGACUCCUACGGGAGGCAGCAGUGGGGAAUAUUGCACAAUGGGCGCAAGCCUGAUGCAGCCAUGCCGCGUGUAUGAAGAAGGCCUUCGGGUUGUAAAGUACUUUCGUCAGGGAAGCGGUACCCGCAGAAGAAGCACCGGCUAACUCCGUGCCAGCAGCCGCGGUAAUAC
Molecule: ribosomal RNA, 406 nt
Filed under: uncultured bacterium
Lineage: Bacteria
Description: partial 16S ribosomal RNA
Rfam family: Bacterial small subunit ribosomal RNA
Source: RNAcentral